AUAUCAAUAAGCGGAGGAAAAGAAACCAACAGGGAUUACCUUAGUAACGGCGAGUGAAGCGGUAAUAGCUCAAAUUUGAAAUCUGACUCUUCGAGUCCGAGUUGUAAUUUGUAGAGGAUGUUUCGGGUCCAAUUUCGGUUUAAAUUUCUUGGAACAGAAUGUCAUAGAGGGUGAGAAUCCCGUCUAUAACCGUCUAUUGUGCCCAUGUGAAACUCCUUCGACGAGUCGAGUUGUUUGGGAAUGCAGCUCUAAAUGGGAGGUAAAUUUCUUCUAAAGCUAAAUAUUGGCCAGAGACCGAUAGCGCACAAGUAGAGUGAUCGAAAGAUGAAAAGCACUUUGAAAAGAGAGUUAAACAGUAUGUGAAAUUGUUGAAAGGGAAGCGCUUGCAAUCAGACUUGCAUUUAACAUUCCCCCAUUGUUUUCAAUGGGUCAUUUUGUCAAAUUCAGGCCAGCAUCAGUUUGAGUGGUUAGUUAAAGACCUUGGGAAUGUAUCUACUCUCGAGUAGACUUAUAGCCUUUGGUGAAAUGUGACCUACUUAGACUGAGGAACGCGCUUCAUGCUCGGAUGCUGGCGUAAUGGUUGUAAGCGACCCGUCUUGAAACACGGACCAAGGAGUCUAACAUCUAUGCGAGUGUUCGGGUGUCAAACCCCUACGCGUAAUGAAAGUGAACGGAGGUAAGAACCUUUUAGGUGCAUUAUCGACCGAUCCUGAUGUCUUCGGAUGGAUUUGAGUAAGAGCAUAGCUGUUGGGACCCGAAAGAUGGUGAACUAUGCCUGAAUAGGGUGAAGCCAGAGGAAACUCUGGUGGAGGCUCGCAGCGGUUCUGACGUGCAAAUCGAUCGUCAAAUUUGGGUAUAGGGGCGAAAGUGAUCCAUUCUGACCCUUCUUUCGCUAUAUCAGUUUGUCAUCGACAACUAUUUAGUCAGUAAUAUGGCGAGGCUUUUGGUCUGCGGGGAUAUCCUAUGGAUUGCCCGCACCUGUCUUUUCGAUGCAAGAUAGGUCACAGAUUAAGUGGAAGCCGGUAGAUCUCUUAACGAAACAAGAUCUAUUUGAGAUAUAAUCGGCCAUUGAGGUAACCCUCGGUUGAAAAAGCGGACUAAUCGAACCAUCUGGUAGCUGGUUCCUGCCGAAGUUUCCCUCAGGAUAGCAGUAACGUUUUUCAGUUUUAUGAGGUAAAGCGAAUGAUUAGAGGCCUUGGGGUUGAAACAACCUUAACCUAUUCUCAAACUUUAAAUAUGUAAGAAGUCCUUGUUACUUAAUUGAACGUGGACAUUUGAAUGUAUCGUUACUAGUGGGCCAUUUUUGGUAAGCAGAACUGGCGAUGCGGGAUGAACCGAACGUGAGGUUAAGGUGCCGGAAUAUACGCUCAUCAGACACCACAAAAGGUGUCAAUGCAUCUAGACAGUCCGACGGUGGCCAUGGAAGUCGGAAUCCGCUAAGGAGUUGACCAAGGUCACACACAAAGGAAGUGUUGUCCCUUACAUGCUCCUUAAGCAAUUGAUAGAGGGAUCUCUGUGCAAAGUGAUUUCCUCAACUGUUCUCAAAUCGCUGAAAAUCCUCAAUUGGAUUAUGGCGAACCUAAUUGUUUGAUUAAAUCAAACCGUAGGUCCACAGACUAAACGGAACAGACCAAGUUUUUCCCAGUUAAAACUUGGGCAGAUAUAGUCGGUUAAUUAGAUCACUCUAAUUAAGAUGUCGGUGUAAUAACUCACGGACCGAAUGCAUUGGCCCUGAAAAUGGAUGGCGCUUAAGCGUGUUACCUAUACCUCGCCGUUAAAGUUAUAAUGAUGCUUUAACGAGUAGGCAGGCGUGGAGAUUUGUGACGAAGC
Molecule: ribosomal RNA, 1830 nt
Filed under: Eurotiomycetes FL1432B
Lineage: Eukaryota; Fungi; Ascomycota; Eurotiomycetes
Description: LSU rRNA
Rfam family: Eukaryotic large subunit ribosomal RNA
Source: RNAcentral